GAAAUGCGAUAAUUAAUGUGAAUUGCAGAAUUCAGUGAAUCAUCGAGUCUUUGAACGCACAUUGCGCCCCCUGGUAUUCCGGGGGGCAUGCCUGUCCGAGCGUCAUUGCUGCCCUCAAGCACGGCUUGUGUGUUGGGCUUCCGUCCCUGGCAACGGGGACGCCCAAAAGGCAGUGGCGGCACCAUGUCUGGUCCUCGAGCGUAUGGGGCUUUGUCACCCGCUCCCGUAGGUCCAGCUGGCAGCUAGCCUCGCAACCAAUCUUUUUAACCAGGUUGACCUCGGAUCAGGUAGGGAUACCCGCUGAACUUAAGC
RNAcentral lists this unclassified non-coding RNA (312 nucleotides) under plant metagenome. RNAcentral describes it as "partial contains 5.8S ribosomal RNA, internal transcribed spacer 2, and large subunit ribosomal RNA". The stretch from base 1 to 105 matches the Rfam family "5.8S ribosomal RNA", at positions 50 to 154 of the family's 154-position model. The record is from RNAcentral.